CCUACGGGAGGCAGCAGUGAGGAAUAUUGGUCAAUGGACGAGAGUCUGAACCAGCCAAGUAGCGUGAGGGAUGACUGCACUAUGGGUUGUAAACUUCUUUUAUAAAGGAAUAAAACGAGGCACGUGUGCCUUGUUGCAUGUACUUUAUGAAUAAGGAUCGGCUAACUCCGUGCCAGCAGCCGCGGUAAUACGGAGGAUCCGAGCGUUAUCCGGAUUUAUUGGGUUUAAAGGGAGCGUAGAUGGGUUGUUAAGUCAGUUGUGAAAGUUUGCGGCUCAACCGUAAAAUUGCAAUUGAGACUGGCAGUCUUGAGUACAGUUGAGGUAGGCGGAAUUCGUGGUGUAGCGGUGAAAUGCUUAGAUAUCACGAAGAACCCCGAUUGCGAAGGCAGCUUACUAAACUGUGACUGACACUGAUGCUCGAAAGUGUGGGUAUCAAACAGGAUUAGAUACCCUAGUAGUC
This 460-nucleotide ribosomal RNA is filed under the name uncultured bacterium. Its description in RNAcentral is "partial 16S ribosomal RNA". It matches the Rfam family "Bacterial small subunit ribosomal RNA", at positions 338 to 795 of the family's 1533-position model. The record is from RNAcentral.